Molecule: ribosomal RNA, 3202 nt
Filed under: Triticum aestivum (bread wheat)
Lineage: Eukaryota; Viridiplantae; Streptophyta; Magnoliopsida; Poales; Poaceae
Description: partial small subunit ribosomal RNA
Source: RNAcentral
CGGCGAUCCCAAAAUGUCGCAGGGUAGGGAGGCAGGGCCUCGGCGGCGGAAGAAGCCAGAGAGGAAGGUUGGCGCGCGAGGCGGACGUGGGGCAGGGAUAAUAGCAGGUGGGGUUCAGGCCGGCUCUGCAGAAAGUCGGGUGGAGGUCAGUGUCUGGGGAGUGAUUGGUCGCUACCGGCCGCGGCAGCCGAAGGAGCGCCUGCACUUGCUGUUGACCGAAUUCGGUGCAGACGAGGCUCACCACCAACCGCUCGCCUACGGCGUCGGCCCCUCGUGGCAGGGCGGCCUCCUCGACCGGAGGUAGGAGCUCCGCCACGCGUGCGUGCCGGAGGAGUUGCUCCAGGAGGUCCUGGGCAGCCUGGUUUUCGAGCGGCUCCGCACCGCGCGGUGCCAGCUGCGGACCCAGCUCGCGCAGCCGCUCGAGCACCUCUCGCUGAGCGGUAUAUCAGCAACCAACCCUUGAACAAAAGAACCGCACUGAAAGGUUCUUACGUCGUCACUCGCGAAACGACUUAGUAUGAGACUAACCAAACUCUUCUAAGACUCCUUGAACGUCGUCCCUGGCAGAUCGAACGUUGAACAAUGACACCAGAGAACAUGAAGGUACAGACUAGAUAAACGCUCUAACCGCUUUAAAAACUUAAAUUUCUUUCUCCGUAGUAGGAAACGACCUUCUCAACAACUUGGUAACGACGACGAAAAUUUACUUUUACCAGGUCACCGCCUACUUCGUUAACUAAACGAUUCCUGUCAAUAAUUUAACAUAGGGAGUAGACAUUUAGCUGUGAUGUUAUUUCAGCUUAGGUGGUAACGUAGGUUCUAAUACUCAUGUCUUCAGUUACAUUUUAAUAGUUUCUUUAAACGCUCUCAGAAUCGUUACGAAGGAAGACAGGCUCAUAGACUCCCGUGAACCAGUAACUACUAAGUCUUUCAUGACUACCCAUAUUUGUUAGAAGACUUACUACGAAAACAACCCGACCUUCUUCUUUUCUUUCCCGCACUCUAAUACUACGAAGAUCAAGGUGGACCAUUACUGGGAGGUGGUCACAACCCUCUAGUUCAUUUCAACCCUCCGUUAAACGUACACUGUUUCUUUAAAGCACAGAAGUGACAAGGAUGAUAAAGUCGCGAACGGGUAACGACGACGUACUACGACUGAUCAGUAAUGGGCCAAGUCCAGUGGCAAGGACAGGCACGAAACUAUCGAGACAGUGCCUCUCACGAGAAUCAACUACCUAGUAACGUCUUCAGCAAGGGAAGUUGAUGAAGGAACGUGGUUCUCGAAUAAACAAAACUCGAAGGUAGUAACGUAAGUAGAAAGAACCUAAACGAGGUACGUUGAUAAUUUCCUUACGCUUCGGUUGAAAAUGGCGUACGACGAUUAUAACAUGCCGAACAUUGACUAAUGAAGUUUUAACGCUUCGACGGAUGAUGCUCCUGUUUUCAAAUGUCGUAACAAGUCGACAACGACUGGAGGUACCCACAACCUUACAGAGAGGUAAACAAUCUCCAUUAUCAGUCGUUACGUCAACCACUAGACCUACUAUUAACACAUUUUCUUUACUGAGAUAAGUCGUGUUUAGGUAGUUUUCCCUUAUCACUUAGAAACAGUUUUUCAAUGAGGUUCUUCUCCUUCGUUCUUGGUGUUUACGUUUUAAGUGUACGGAACCCAUACCUCUUUCGUCGUUAGUCGGGUUUCUUUUACUUUUGGAGAAGGUACGGUUGAAGUAGCUUCCCUUACUGGGGACUUUGAGGUCCUCUACAAUCUUACAAGUGUGGUGAGAGACAAUUUUAUCGACGUGAUCUUUGGAACCUUUAAGAAGACUUACACCCCCCAAGUAACUCCUGUCUAGUGACCUCCCGUUUUCACCUGAACGAGGAUUAAUUGUAUCGAUGUUCACGAACGCUGAGUCCUCGUCCCAUACUAGGUAGUUAUAGGUUUCAGCCCCUCUGUUCGUAUAGUCUGAUAGCUGAACGAAGUAACUUUCGUAACGACCGUAGAAAAGAAAGUAGAGGAGUACGGGCCGGUGAAAUAAAUCGGGUUCCUUGACUUGAUAAAUCUUUUCCCUUCGAUCUCUAUCCGUGAUGCGAGCGUCUCAAAACAAGCGUACGAAACGACCGAAACCUACAAGAAUGCGUGGGUGCUCGGGAAAGAGAUCUUUUCCGUCCAGGAAAUCAAGGACCUGAGUUGGCGUCACUUGGUCUUUUCCGUUAAAAACCACGAUCGUGUAAAUUGAAAAGUGGUAGGGUUCCCGUCGCCGUCCAAUAACGCCUACUUCUAUGAAUACUACUAACCAACGGUAGGUAGUUCCUAUUACUUGGCAGUCUUUUCAGGUGAGAACAUUUUCUUCAAGGCGUUUAACUAAGUGUAUGUUAACGACUCCGUCUUCUUCUACAAGGACGUACGUUGUCCUCACUAUGGUAAUACCACCAACGCCGGUGUCUUUUUUGGAGGCUCGGUUACUGUCACCUAUUAGGAAGAUCGAGGUUACAACGAAGUUUAGGUUAGAUGAGUUCCGGUGGACUUCGUGUCUUUCGACGUCGAUGGGGGAAAGCUCUCCUUUUCGCACGCCUAGUACAACUAAGAGAAGAAGUCUUAUUUUCGAGUCGACACCAGUUGGAUGGUAAGGCGUUAGACCGUUGGAGUCCACUUUUUGGUAGACUGGGUCCACAACGACGAGGCUCGUCGAUAUUUCUACAGAGAAGUUGGGCGAAGUAAGUCGGGUAGUUCCGUCUGAACAGACUAUGUCUCAGUCAUCUGAGCUACGGUCUCUAUGUUCUGCCGCUGGGCCUAAGACUGAUAACUCGAAGGAAGUUAGUUCCUAUUUGUAUAUGGGAACGGAAAAAAGCAGGUAGAAAUAGUCGUAUAGGGAACCCCAGCUCGGUAAAAACGGUAAGGGUUUUGCAUAUGGCUCAUAUACCGAGACAAAUAGAUUCUUACUGGUAGCCGAAUUGCAAGCUCAUAAGACAACGAAAGGCAUGUAUACUGUGAACGUACCAAACGGUCGCGGAAACACGGGUCACGUUCCUUCUACACCGUCGAGACAUCUUUUUAAUAUGCUCCUAAUCAAUAAUGAAAAAAACUCUUGGACUUCUCCCUGUUCAACUGUUUGCAAUUGGUACUUAAGGUUCGGUUUUUACUCACCACUAUGUUUGGUCGACAAGUUCGUCUUGUUAUUAUAUUUUGCGGUUACCAACUGAC